AGGGAAAGGAGAAACUGUUAAAAAUCAAUCAGAUCUCAUGAGACUUAUUCACUACUAUGGGAACAGUAUGGGGGGAAAACUCCCUCGUGAUUCAUUUAUCCACCACCAGGUUCCUCCC
Molecule: long non-coding RNA, 118 nt
Organism: Cebus imitator (Panamanian white-faced capuchin)
Lineage: Eukaryota; Metazoa; Chordata; Mammalia; Primates; Cebidae
Exons: 3
Source: RefSeq, a predicted model, not a curated record